AAUUGAGUCAUAACUCUCAUACCCUUCUUAAAGUUGAGACGAUUCUAUCAUACGAAGGUAAAAAACUUUUAUAUAGUACGAAAGUGAACAUUUAUCAUUCGAUUCUUUUUUAUUUUCAUUAGAUGGCUCAACUUUUUUUACAUUUUUGUUUUUGUUUUUUCUCUUUUUAUGCUUAUCUUUUCAUAAUUGCUCUGUUUCUUUUACUUUCCUCUUCUUUAUUCUUGGCCUUGAGGUCAGCAGCCUCCGCCAUGGCUCCCGAGCCUCCGCAUCAAGGGCCAACCGCUCUGCUUCAAAUGCCGUCACAUCGAAGGCCUUGUUGUUGUUCUUCUGACUGCCAGAGGCGACUUCCACCUUGGACCAACUGUUGUGAGGAUUUGCGGAGAGAGAACAAAGGGUGCAAAGAGAGGAGGGAUUGAGAAAGUUGGUGCUGAG
This 432-nucleotide long non-coding RNA is filed under the name Glycine max (soybean). Its description in RNAcentral is "long non-coding RNA (GMAX_LNC002513)". The record is from RNAcentral. Lineage: Eukaryota; Viridiplantae; Streptophyta; Magnoliopsida; Fabales; Fabaceae.